This 253-nucleotide ribosomal RNA is filed under the name uncultured bacterium. Its description in RNAcentral is "partial 16S ribosomal RNA". It matches the Rfam family "Bacterial small subunit ribosomal RNA", at positions 524 to 776 of the family's 1533-position model. The record is from RNAcentral.
UACGUAGGGUGCAAGCGUUGUCCGGAAUUAUUGGGCGUAAAGAGCUCGUAGGCGGUUUGUCACGUCGGGAGUGAAAACUCAGGGCUCAACCCUGAGCGUGCUUCCGAUACGGGCAGACUAGAGGUAUGCAGGGGAGAACGGAAUUCCUGGUGUAGCGGUGGAAUGCGCAGAUAUCAGGAGGAACACCGGUGGCGAAGGCGGUUCUCUGGGCAUUACCUGACGCUGAGGAGCGAAAGCAUGGGGAGCGAACAGG